Molecule: ribosomal RNA, 324 nt
Filed under: uncultured eukaryote
Lineage: Eukaryota
Description: partial 18S ribosomal RNA
Rfam family: Eukaryotic small subunit ribosomal RNA
Source: RNAcentral
CCCUUAGAUGUUCUGGGCUGCACGCGCGCUACACUGAAGCUAUCAACACGUUUUGCCUCCCUGAGAAGGGCGGGUAACCUUUUGAAUCAGCUUCGUGGUAGGGAUCGGGGCUUGCAAUUGUUCCCCGUGAACCAGGAAUUCCUAGUAGACGCGAGUCAUAAGCUCGCAUCGAUUAAGUCCCUGCCCUUUGUACACACCGCCCGUCGCUACUACCGAUUGAACGUUUUAGUGAGGCAUUUGGACCGACGCAUCUCAGUUUAACCGCUGGUUUGUGUUGGAAAGACUUCCAAACUUGAGCGUUUAGAGGAAGUAAAAGUCGUAACA